CCGGUUCUCCCUCCUCUCCGUCCCUGGCUGGGACAUGUGGAUCUCACCCGCAGCCACUUUCUUCUGGCCUCUGUCCCCCUGCCUGGGACACGUGGACCUCACCCCCAGUCUCCUUCUCUCCUCUGCCCCCCGCAGGCGCGGCCAGGUCACAGUCGGCACCAGAAGUUUGGCAGAUCUCAGUGAGGCGUUAGUUUGCAUUUCCUUGUGACGGGUUUUGACUGGAAUGCCAGGCUUAACGUUGCUCAGAAGUUGCUUCUAUGAGGACGUCUCCCAGCAGCUGUCAGUGUUUCCAAUGAGUCAUCGCCAGCCCCUGCAAUGAGCCUCUCAGGCUGUCACUGUCCCUAAAAUGAAGCCGGGCUGCCAGAGGCGGUUGCAUCUCCCGGCACCAAGACCCCAGAGUCCCUGUGAGAAAGAGGACCAACGACGAUGGAAGCCUUUCUCUAAUGUGCGCACAGCCAGGCCGCUCCUCUGAAGGCGCUGAGCCGCCUCUAAUCACAGCGCCACACUGGCCACAGGUCGCUGGGUAUAGGAUGAACCCAGCUGUGAAUAGGAUGCAUUUCCUGGGAGGUUUCUGUGAAGUUACUGAACUGCCAAAAGCUGAGGUGCCUGUCAGCAGUCAAGUGAUUGAGAGCACAAACUGUCCCAAAGACACAGCCCCCUUCCCCCUGGAGACGCGCACAGCCUGCAGAAGAGAUGUCACCUGAUGCAGCGUUGUGGUUUAAAAACUCAUUAUGGGAAGCAUGAGGCUGGACCCAGGGGACCCUGGAGGUGAUGCAGGGGCUUUGGCAGCCUGGAAGCUGUUGGAGGAGGGGCCCUUGGUGGAAGUGGGGACAGUUUGAGCCUCCGGCCUCCAAUUCCCUCCCGCUGGCUUCUGGGCCGCACCUCCAGGAAUCCAGCUAGACCCGCAGGGCUCUGACUCCAGACUUUAUUAAAUGUUUCCUCUAACGGUUCUGGCCAUUCUGCUGGGCCAUUAAAGGCUACCCCAGGGCCUCAGAUAUGAGCGUGGUGUCUGUAUGUGGUCCUUUCAUGGAGGGCAGGAAGCAUCAUAAUUACUUUUUUUUUUAACGGUUUUCAAUUUGUGUUGACAAAGAGCCUUAGUGAAUCUGUUGGAAGAAGAGUGACUUCAAAAUGAACCUGACUCCCUGUAUGUUAGGAGUCCAUAUUCUCU
This 1168-nucleotide long non-coding RNA is filed under the name Homo sapiens (human). RNAcentral's name for it is "long intergenic non-protein coding RNA 1237". Lineage: Eukaryota; Metazoa; Chordata; Mammalia; Primates; Hominidae. The record is from RNAcentral.